Molecule: long non-coding RNA, 4075 nt
Organism: Manihot esculenta (cassava)
Lineage: Eukaryota; Viridiplantae; Streptophyta; Magnoliopsida; Malpighiales; Euphorbiaceae
Exons: 4
Source: RefSeq, a predicted model, not a curated record
ACCUAAAAGUAUUUCUUGUUUUUUAGCGAAAAUGAACUUGAAUUUGGAAUCGAGGAGGGAUGUAAACGACGUCGUUACAGGUAGUGGAUGAAAGUUCAAGCGCUGCCGUCGACGGUGAAGAUGAAGAAGACGAUGACAACCCGAUAGCCUGAAGAAGAAAUCCCAAUUUGCCCAGAAAUUCGUUUGUUUGUCGACUGGAACCAAGAAAAGGAAAGAUGGAAAACGAAAAAUGCUACCCAGGGAAAUCUUGAGGAAAUCCACACCCACUGCCAUCACGAUGACGACUCCGGCUUGACGGUUCAAGAUCUAGUGGGCAUUGCUCGCCAGAAAAUGAAGCGCAAAGACAACGUGAACUUCUCUUAUAACGAUUUGAAGUGUCUUUGGUUCCUCUUUAUAAUGAGCAGCGAUCAUCCAGUUGUGUAACCACUGCUUCUUGUGCUUCAACAGUGAAUUUGACGAGUGAACAAAGCUUCAUCAAUAUCGGCCGUACAAGGGGAUCCUGCUCGGGACAUGCUUGACCUGUUCUUGGUUCCGUUCUCAAGAAACUGCCGCUCGAGGAGGGAAAGAAAAGUGGUUUCUCGUUAAGGAUGUGAAUUUGGUCUAUGAGUUGAUAAGGCGAAGUCUCAAUGAUUUGGAGAAGAAAUAGUUCCCCUGAUGAUGAAGAAGAAGAGCAGUCUCAAAGGCAAGGUCUUGAAGCCAGAUUUCAAAGCUCAUGUAAAUGGUACAAACAACGGAAAUCACCAAGGUGAGGAAGUUCUCAGCUGUUGUGCUACACAAGGAAUCUGUUGAAAAUUGGCCAUUGUUCUGGAGAUGCCAUCUUCAAAACCAUUCCUAGUUUCACCCCAGUAAUUUCUUCAAAAUGUGCAACAGUUUGACUCCUACUCUUUCACUGGAGCAAGUUUUAAUUGUUUCUGGUGCUGUGCUAGCAGCUGAGAGUGAAGAAGUGUCAAAAUGCCUGCUUGUCCAUCCAGGUAAUGCUGUAUAACUGAGACACGGCAGGCUCUACAGACUUCAUAAAUAGUUAGAGUUGCAAGUUUGGAUGCUUUUGAAAUACAUGACUGUGGAAAGUUAUCAAUAUUUAAUCUUUGCACUAAGGUAUAUAUUCCUAGACUGGCAGGAAGAAUUCAAACAGUUUAAAGUCAUUGAGAGGAAGCAGUUGCUUAUUUUGAUUGCUAAGCAUGCAUCGCCUAGCAGUUCUAUUAUAUUCGGGACAAGAGAAACCUCAUAAUAAUGAGAACCAAUAAUCAGAUAUGUCUUGAACCAGGUUAAGGAAUGUGUGAGAAAUGAAGCUUGGUGUGCGUUCAAGACAAGUACUCGACAACAGAAAGAAUCUUUUUUUUUCAGAUGAUAAGUUGUCCAUGUCUGCAAUGAAGCUCUUGUGGGUUUGGCAGGAUGGUUUUGUAAUUAGAAUUCUCCAAUCACUCUUAAUUUCUUUUUUUUAUAUAGCUUAAUUUCUUUUGUUGUUAUUAUUAUUUAAUUGUUGAUUCUCAAAUAGUGGAUGUUCUUUGGAGAACAUGUUACUUUUCAUUUUCUUAAUUUGGUACACAUGAUGCCUUGAAACUGCAUGUGAUAUCAGCAACCAUAAAACAUUAUUGGGUCUGUUAGUAAACGCAAUUCUUCGAGCAAGUAAUUUAUUUAGGGUAAUCACAUUAUUUUAUUGGCAAGCCCCUGUUCUCUCUCUCUGUGAAAGAAUAAGGCUUUGAGCAUCCAAACUACUUAAUAUUUUAUUGCCUUAUUAUUUUAGUCUGUAAAGGUACCAAUAUUAUUUUCUGUAUGUCUCCUUCUGGAACAGUAUCAUGUAAGAGAACCUGCACACUUUUUGUUUAAGAUAUGUGGAAUUAACCUAUUAUUUUAUUCAAACAAAUGGAGAACCAGAACAGAUGGUUUUAUGUCUACUACCACUAUAAGACAAGAUCUAAAUACAACAUAUAAUCAUGCAGGGUAUAUCUAUUAAACCUAGUAGUUCUUUUUCUUUUUUUUUUCUUCCCUUAUUGAAUCAAUGUAUACAUAUUCCUCUUCGAUGACUUCUAGUAGAAUAAAAUUCUUCUAAUUUUGAUUUGAAUCAAUAGUAUAAUGACCUUGUAUUCUCAUGUGUUUUCCCCCUGCAUAGCUGAACUAUGCAUGGUCAAAACUUAUGCCUUAGAUCUAAUUUCUUUUCUUUGGUUUAUUUUCACAUUCAGCUGUGGAGCAUGUGCUGGGACUAUUAGUGUUAUCUAUGCUUAGCAGACAUGCCCAACCUUUCUGUGGUUAGUUUCUGAUCUGAUGUGUAUUUUGAAGUAGAAAUCUUGGAAGGCCUAUUUUAUGGCCAGUUCUCAUGACAUCCUCUUGCACUUGUCUUCUGUACUCUCCAAAUGUGAAGUUUCUAUAUAUUGAAGGCUCUUUGCAACUCCCUAUCAAGAAGUCAUAAGAAGGGCAUAGAAAGUAUGCCAAUGAGCAUCUCUCCUUAUUUCUGUUGGCCAUCACCUUGUGCUCCACACUCUUGUAAAUAUCAUUGCUCCAUGCCUGUCAUCCACAUUAAAUCAAGAGCCUCAUUGCAGUGUAUAUGUGUGCAUUCAUGCCCUUGCAUAUAAAUCUUAAUAACUCUUCCUCUGAAGCAAAGAUUCUUUGAGCAUGCUUUUAUUAGCGAUUGAAAUGCAAGUUAAUUUUAUACCUGGAAAAGAUCUCCAAUAUUAACGAUAAGGGCUUCUUGAUUAGGUGUUACAGCUACCCAUUUGGAAUCCUUCAUGAGUUGAAGUCCACCAACUUCAUCUUGAUAAAGAAUUGUAAGAAAAUCAGAGUCAGUGUGGGGCACUAGGCCAAAGAUCUCCGGAGAUACUGGACAUGGUGGGUAUCGAUUCAACCGGAGAAAGCAAUUGCUUUCAUGACAAAUGUCCUCAAACCCUCUCACUGGGUGACCCAAGUUUUCUACCAGGACCCCUGCAAGCAACUUGGCUAGCCUUGACAUUGCCUCUGCAACUUCCAUCAUCACUUCCCUGUUGAUUUACUACAUUUUAGUACAAACAAAUUGUGAAGGAAAUUGCAUUGGUAGAGAAAAGCUGGUACCUUAAAGAGGUAAAUUCCCCAUAGCAAGAUUCUUCUGAAAUUUUGGUGAGAGGAAUGUGGAAAGCCUCAGACCAGGAGAACUGCUUCGGACAGGUAGCCUUUUCGGAUCCCCAUCUAUAUGAAUUGUUCAGAAGUCCACAAGUAGCCUUCUUAUGGAAGGGUGCUUGAAACAACUUCACUUGCUCUCUUCUCAUAUUCCGGAGUAGCUCAGGGCUUAUACCAUGGUUCACUACCUGGAAGAAUCCCCACUCUGAUGAGGCUCUGCAAAUAGCUGUAGCACAAGCUACCCUCUCCAUUUCAUUGCCACUGUCGAGACCAUUGAGGUCUAUCAAUGGAAGUUGGCAUUCCUCCAUGAUUACUCCACUCUGGGGAUCAUUGUAUUCCUCUGCAGCAGGAAAUUUAGCAGAAAGUGCUCCAUAAGAGGGCAAGAGAGGUGGGUUUGAGUCGAUCAUUGUUGAUUAAUGAGUGAGCUUUGCAGGUUCUAGUUACAUAGUCAUAUAUAUAUGCAUAUAUAUAAUAUAUAUAUAUAUAUAUAGAGAGAGAGAGAGAGUAGGUGAUUUUGGAGUGAGUGAGAGAGAGAGUCUGAUUCCUAAGAGCACAAAGAGAAAAGAACAAGAGGGACAGCUCCCAAAUGGCGACAGUUGUCAGAAGGAGAGCAUUUGUCUGGAAUUGUCUUGAGAGAGAGACCAGGUCUAACACUUAACACGGAUUGCACUAAAUUAUUGAUCAACUAAAAUGCAUAAUAACCAGGACAUCAAAAGGGAUGGAAUCCAACCUAACUUCCCUUUUUGACUUUUUUUCUUUUUUCACGGCAUGAGUUUGAGAAGCUUUGAUCAAUGAGUAGGUUUCCCUGGCAUUGCCUUUUGCUUUCCAAGUGUGAAUGUAGAUUUUACUUUGGACUUUGAGCAUCAACUCUUAAAAAUCUCUCUUUACCCUGAGUUUUUUCCUUUAUUUAUUUUUUUUUUUUGUGUGUGUUUUAUCAUAUUCAUGUUUAUGUUGUAACUUAACGUGGUUUGGGAUUGCCAUUUGUCUC